Molecule: ribosomal RNA, 488 nt
Filed under: uncultured Gemmatimonadota bacterium
Lineage: Bacteria; Pseudomonadati; Gemmatimonadota
Description: bacterial SSU rRNA
Rfam family: Bacterial small subunit ribosomal RNA
Source: RNAcentral
AGAGUUUGAUCCAUGCUCAGGACGAACGCUGGCGGCGUGCUUAACACAUGCAAGUCGAACGAGGCCACUCCUUCGGGAGUGAGUCGAGUGGCGGACGGGUGCGUAACACGUGAGCAACCUAUCCCUGUGCGGGGGACAACCCGGGGAAACCCGGGCUAAUACCGCAUGGGCAGGACCCCCGAGUGAGGGUUCUGGGAAAGAUGGCCUCUUGACAAUGCUAUCGCGCAGGGAGGGGCUCGCGGGCUAUCAGCUAGUUGGUGAGGUAACGGCUCACCAAGGCAGCGACGGCUAGGGGGUCUGAGAGGAUGGCCCCCCACAUUGGAACUGAGACACGGUCCAGACUCCUACGGGAGGCAGCAGUGGGGAAUAUUGGGCAAUGGGCGAAAGCCUGACCCAGCGACGCCGCGUGUGGGAGGACGCCUUUCGGGGUGUAAACCACUGUCAGAGGGGACGAAAUGCCGGGGUGGUAAUACUGCUCCGGUUGACGG